GAUAAACGCUGGCGGCGUGCCUUAUGCAUGCAAGUCGAACGAGGUUAAGAUUUCGGUCUGAAGCCUAGUGGCGGACGGGUGAGUAACACGUACGUGACCUGUCCAGAAGUGGGGAAUAACCGGCCGAAAGGUUGGCUAAUACCGCAUGUGGUCACCCCUUGGAAGGGGAUGACGAAAGCCGAAAGGCGCUUCUGGAGGGGCGUGUGGCCGAUUAGCUAGUUGGUGUGGUAACGGCGCACCAAGGCGAUGAUCGGUAGCUGGUCUGAGAGGAUGGUCAGCCACACUGGGACUGAGAUACGGCCCAGACUCCUACGGGAGGCAGCAGCAGGGAAUUUUGCGCAAUGGGCGAAAGCCUGACGCAGCAACGCCGCGUGGGGAUGAA
RNAcentral lists this ribosomal RNA (382 nucleotides) under uncultured bacterium. RNAcentral's name for it is "bacterial SSU rRNA". It matches the Rfam family "Bacterial small subunit ribosomal RNA", at positions 28 to 412 of the family's 1533-position model. The record is from RNAcentral.